Molecule: long non-coding RNA, 332 nt
Filed under: Elaeis guineensis (African oil palm)
Lineage: Eukaryota; Viridiplantae; Streptophyta; Magnoliopsida; Arecales; Arecaceae
Description: long non-coding RNA (EGUI_LNC009353)
Source: RNAcentral
CCACCGUUCCCCAUCCCAGAAGCUUAGAGAUCCUGGGGCAUUUUUACCACGCUGAGUUAGCCAUUCGCCGGUCCCUCUCGCCUCAGCGAAGCCUCAGGAGAGUGGAUCUAGGAGGAGGAUCGAUGCUGGGGUAUCCCUCACGCCCCAAAGGAUCCUGACGCGAGGACGAUCUCGAGUGGAAGAUCUAGGAGAUUGAGCACACGCUCGGGACAUUCCGAGAGGAAGACUAGAAACACGACGACCCCUCGGCUUUAGCGCGCACCUGCCUUUCCCUCAAAGGAUGCUGGAGGAAUCGAUUGCGUAUCAGCUCAAAAUACCAUAGAUUAGCGGAC